This 363-nucleotide transfer-messenger RNA is filed under the name Escherichia coli. Its description in RNAcentral is "Standard tmRNA". It matches the Rfam family "transfer-messenger RNA". From Rfam's summary of the family: Bacterial tmRNA, also known as 10Sa RNA or SsrA, is named for its dual tRNA and mRNA-like properties. Its role is to liberate the mRNA from a stalled ribosome. The record is from RNAcentral. Lineage: Bacteria; Pseudomonadati; Pseudomonadota; Gammaproteobacteria; Enterobacterales; Enterobacteriaceae.
GGGGCUGAUUCUGGAUUCGACGGGAUUUGCGAAACCCAAGGUGCAUGCCGAGGGGCGGUUGGCCUCGUAAAAAGCCGCAAAAAAUAGUCGCAAACGACGAAAACUACGCUUUAGCAGCUUAAUAACCUGCUUAGAGCCCUCUCUCCCUAGCCUCCGCUCUUAGGACGGGGAUCAAGAGAGGUCAAACCCAAAAGAGAUCGCGUGGAAGCCCUGCCAGGGGUUGAAGCGUUAAAACUUAAUCAGGCUAGUUUGUUAGUGGCGUGUCCGUCCGCAGCUGGCAAGCGAAUGUAAAGACUGACUAAGCAUGUAGUACCGAGGAUGUAGGAAUUUCGGACGCGGGUUCAACUCCCGCCAGCUCCACCA